RNAcentral lists this ribosomal RNA (250 nucleotides) under uncultured prokaryote. RNAcentral describes it as "partial 16S ribosomal RNA". It matches the Rfam family "Bacterial small subunit ribosomal RNA", at positions 524 to 773 of the family's 1533-position model. The record is from RNAcentral.
UACGUAGGUGGCGAGCGUUGUCCGGAUUUACUGGGUGUAAAGGGCGCGUAGGCGGGUCAGCAAGUCAGAUGUGAAAUGCAGAGGCUUAACCUCUGAGCUGCAUUUGAAACUGUUGGUCUUGAGUAUCGGAGAGGCAGGCGGAAUUCCUAGUGUAGCGGUGAAAUGCGUAGAUAUUAGGAGGAACACCAGUGGCGAAGGCGGCCUGCUGGACGACAACUGACGCUGAGGCGCGAAAGCGUGGGGAGCAAAC